GUAACAUACAGUGAUGUGAGAGGAGGAAUAGGUCGAGGGAGGAGCAACACUGUCAGAACAGAGCAGAACAGAAAAGGACUCCUACUGUCAGAUGCAUUCAAUAUCUAAACCAGACAGGACACAGAUACUGUCUGUAAGAUGAUGUCACUGCAUUACUGUGUCAUUUUCCAGCUUCUUCUGACCAUACUAAAAGGUGUCAGCUGUGAAGAACUCACUCCAGAUAACGAUGAAGAGUUCAGUUUAGAAGGCAGCACUGUUACUCUGUCCUACACAUACUCCAAAAAAGCAACUGGUAGUGAUAGUUUCUUCUGGUAUCGACAACAUCCAGGAAAACCACCAGAGUUCCUCAUUUCUCAUCUGGAAUCAGGAGAAAUAUUAGCAAAUGCAGUCUCUGGACUGUCUGUUAAAGUGAGUGAGGAUAAAACCCGAAUGGAUCUGCAGAUCUCCUCUGCUGCAGUGACAGACUCUGCUCUGUACUACUGUGCUGUGAGGCCCACAGUGACAGCAAACCCACAGCCUCUGUACAAAAACACAAGCUGACACACUGACAAGCUGCUGGAAGCCUUUUUUCCACACUGUUGUACUGAAGUUUUGACCUCCACUAGAGGGCGACAUUAUCAAGUUGGCGGUGCACUACUUCUGCACUGUGUUCAACCGUUGUGUCAAUAAUAACUGCUGCUGUGAAGAGAACAAUUCUCAGACUGAAUGUUGAACAGCAGCUAGUUUCUCCUGUUGAUUU
This is a non-coding RNA of Siniperca chuatsi (mandarin fish), 739 nucleotides long. The record is from the annotation of a RefSeq genome assembly. NCBI's taxonomy places the organism in Eukaryota, Metazoa, Chordata, Actinopteri, Centrarchiformes, Sinipercidae.